AUGUGGAAACUGAAACCCAGCAAAGGGCCACAGACCAGCCACCCACCUCCCAGAAAAAUCCCUUUGUGAGAAAAACUCCUGGUUAGACUGACUGGAGGUGCUGCGACUCAAGAAGUUCAACGUUGACCAUCCUGCUAUGUUUGUGAAGCCAUCCCACAGAAGCCUGAUGUGCUUUCUGCUUUCAGGAAUCCGAGAAAAAGGAGCUUUGGCACUCAU
Enhydra lutris kenyoni (northern sea otter) is the source of this 216-nucleotide long non-coding RNA. RefSeq lists it as uncharacterized. The transcript has 3 exons. NCBI's taxonomy places the organism in Eukaryota, Metazoa, Chordata, Mammalia, Carnivora, Mustelidae. The record is from RefSeq and is a predicted model, not a curated record.